GUCCUUGUAGCUUACAAAAAGCAUGACNCUGAAGAUGUCAAGACGGNUGCCAUACACACCCAAGGACAAAAGACUUAG
RNAcentral lists this transfer RNA (78 nucleotides) under Motacilla cinerea cinerea. RNAcentral's name for it is "tRNA-Phe". The record is from RNAcentral. Lineage: Eukaryota; Metazoa; Chordata; Aves; Passeriformes; Motacillidae.